UACGUAGGGGGCGAGCGUUAUUCGGAUUUACUGGGCGUAAAGCGCGUGUAGGCGGCUGGUUAAGCGUGAUGUGAAAUCUCCGGGCUCAACCCGGAAACUGCAUUGCGAACUGGCCUGGCUGGAGUGCAGGAGAGGGUAGUGGAACUGCGAGUGUAGAGGUGAAAUUCGUAGAUAUUCGCAAGAACACCAGUGGCGAAGGCGGCUCACUGGCCCGAUACUGACGCUGAGGUGCGAAAGCGUGGGGAGCAAACAGG
Molecule: ribosomal RNA, 254 nt
Filed under: uncultured bacterium
Lineage: Bacteria
Description: partial 16S ribosomal RNA
Rfam family: Bacterial small subunit ribosomal RNA
Source: RNAcentral